UGCCUUUGAUACUGGUCAUCUUGAGUUGUAUUGAAGUAGGCGGAAUAUGUAGUGUAGCGGUGAAAUGCAUAGAUAUUACAUAGAACACCAAUUGCGAAGGCAGCUUACUAAGUACUAACUGACGCUGAUGGACGAAAGCGUGGGUAGCGAACAGGAUUAGAUACCCUGGUAGUCCACGCCGUAAACGAUGGAUACUAGCUGUUCGGGGCCUUGAGCUCUGAGCGGCUAAGCGAAAGUGAUAAGUAUCCCACCUGGGGAGUACGUUCGCAAGAAUGAAACUCAAAGGAAUUGACGGGGGCCCGCACAAGCGGUGGAGCAUGUGGUUUAAUUCGAUGAUACGCGAGGAACCUUACCAGGGCUUAAAUGUAGUCUGACAGCUUUAGAGAUAGAGUUUUCUUCGGACAGAUUACAAGGUGCUGCAUGGUUGUCGUCAGCUCGUGCCGUGAGGUGUCAGGUUAAGUCCUAUAACGAGCGCAACCCCUGUCGUUAGUUGCCAGCAUGUCAUGAUGGGGACUCUAACGAGACUGCCGGUGCAAACCGCGAGGAAGGUGGGGAUGACGUCAAAUCAUCACGGCCCUUACGUCCUGGGCCACACACGUGCUACAAUGGCCGGUACAGAGAGCAGCCACGUCGCAAGGCGGAGCGAAUCUAUAAAACCGGUCACAGUUCGGAUCG
This 675-nucleotide ribosomal RNA is filed under the name uncultured bacterium. RNAcentral describes it as "bacterial SSU rRNA". It matches the Rfam family "Bacterial small subunit ribosomal RNA", at positions 622 to 1300 of the family's 1533-position model. The record is from RNAcentral.